RNAcentral lists this ribosomal RNA (603 nucleotides) under uncultured fungus. RNAcentral's name for it is "eukaryotic LSU rRNA". It matches the Rfam family "Eukaryotic large subunit ribosomal RNA", at positions 23 to 641 of the family's 3401-position model. Lineage: Eukaryota; Fungi. The record is from RNAcentral.
ACCCGCUGAACUUAAGCAUAUCAAUAAGCGGAGGAAAAGAAACCAACAGGGAUUGCCCUAGUAACGGCGAGUGAAGCGGCAACAGCUCAAAUUUGAAAUCUGGCGUCUUUGGCGUCCGAGUUGUAAUUUGCAGAGGGCGCUUUGGCAUUGGCAGCGGUCCAAGUUCCUUGGAACAGGACGUCACAGAGGGUGAGAAUCCCGUACGUGGUCGCUAGCCUUUACCGUGUAAAGCCCCUUCGACGAGUCGAGUUGUUUGGGAAUGCAGCUCUAAAUGGGAGGUAAAUUUCUUCUAAAGCUAAAUACUGGCCAGAGACCGAUAGCGCACAAGUAGAGUGAUCGAAAGAUGAAAAGCACUUUGGAAAGAGAGUUAAAAAGCACGUGAAAUUGUUGAAAGGGAAGCGCUUGCAGCCAGACUUGCUUACAGUUGCUCAUCCGGGCUUUUGCCCGGUGCACUCUUCUGUAGGCAGGCCAGCAUCAGUUUGGGCGGUAGGAUAAAGGUCUCUGUCACGUACCUCUCUUCGGGGAGGCCUUAUAGGGGAGACGACAUACUACCAGCCUGGACUGAGGUCCGCGCAUCUGCUAGGAUGCUGGCGUAAUGGCUGU